Molecule: small nucleolar RNA, 142 nt
Organism: Cavia aperea (Brazilian guinea pig)
Lineage: Eukaryota; Metazoa; Chordata; Mammalia; Rodentia; Caviidae
Gene: SNORD22
Rfam family: Small nucleolar RNA SNORD22
About the family: U22 is a member of the C/D class of snoRNA which contain the C (UGAUGA) and D (CUGA) box motifs. U22 is encoded within the U22 snoRNA host gene (UHG) in mammals and has also been identified in Xenopus.
Source: Ensembl
UUCCUGGGAAGAAAACACGACUAUCUCACUUCAUGCCCUCCCCCCAGAGCCUGAGAGGCGAACACACUGGGCUGGCUGGGGAGAGAGCUCGGCUACAGAAGGAGUGGAGGGGGCAUCAGAUUUCUUUGUGCAAGAAAGGAAA